GGCCGAGCUGCCAUUGGGCCUGCUCGACUGAGGGAUCCUGGAACUGGCCAAUCCAAGGCGCUGACGUGGGCCGUCGGGGCGGGAUCAGCGAGCGGGCCUCCGGCGGAGGUCAGAGGGCCUCUCGGUGCGGCCGGUGGCGGAGCUGCCGGGAAGGAGGGCGCGCGGCAGGCGCCCCGGGGAAAUCGGGCGUCGCGGGAAGAGCCCCGACGUCUGUCAGGACCGAGGUAGCGCUGCCGUUCGCCCCGGAGACUUUGCCUUACCUACUUGUACCGCUUUCUCUUUCUGCCAUGAUUGGCUCGGGUCCCUCCUGCCUCUGCACGCUCUGCAAACCGGGAUCCGGCGUUGUUUUGGUCGAGAACCCGAUUGACCGGAAAGGCUACAAGAGUGCAGAGAUGCCUUGUUUUAACUGAUGUCACACGAUCUCUAACUGGCCUGGAACUUACCAAGCAGACUUUUUAAAAAAGCAAACCAGGAGGGCCCCAUCUGCAACCAGGCCUGUGAAUUUUGUUUUGUUUUGUUUUUAAAGGGUUUUAUUUGUUUC
Long non-coding RNA from Microtus oregoni (creeping vole), 541 nucleotides. RefSeq lists it as uncharacterized. The transcript has 2 exons. The record is from RefSeq and is a predicted model, not a curated record. Lineage: Eukaryota; Metazoa; Chordata; Mammalia; Rodentia; Cricetidae.